Molecule: ribosomal RNA, 268 nt
Filed under: uncultured prokaryote
Description: partial 16S ribosomal RNA
Rfam family: Bacterial small subunit ribosomal RNA
Source: RNAcentral
CAGCAGCCGCGGUAACACGUAGGACGCAAGCGUUAUCCGGAAUUACUGGGCGUAAAGGGCGUGUAGGCGGCACGGUAAGUCAACCGUGAAAGCUCCCGGCUAAACUGGGAGAGGUCGGAUGAGACUGCCGAGCUAGAGGGUCGUAGAGGGGUGUGGAAUUCCGGGUGUAGUGGUGAAAUGCGUAGAGAUCCGGAGGAACACCAGAGGCGAAGGCGGCACCCUGGACGACACCAGACGCUGAGACGCGACAGCACGGGGAGCGAACGGG